CAAAGACUAAAAAGGACAUUUCAUCACAAGACUAAGACUAAAUUAAAAAUAGGUGACAAAAUUAACACUAAGUCCCUAAUAGACCUAACACUCACCAAUACACCACAGAUAUAUCCAGCUGUAUGUGUAUUCUCAAAUGACAUCAGUGACCAUUGUGCAAUAGGUUGUGUCAGGGACACCCGGCUUCCUAAAAUCGAGCCUUGUAACUUUAGAAGGUUUGUAGAACAGGCCUUUCUACAGGUUUACACAACUGUGACUUAUCUAGAAUUAGUCUUAUUCCCGGACAUUAACACUGCCUGGAACUACUUUCAUUCAAUUUCUGUCACUAAUAAACAUGCCCCCCUUAGACGCUUCAGUAUUAAGGGGCGGGAAAACUCAUGGUUUUACCCUUAACUGGCUUCUCUGAUUUAUGAGAGAAAUGUCACAUGAGCCUUAGCAAGGAAUUUCAACUCUCAGUCUGACUGGACUGACUUCAGUUACCUCAGAAACAAAUGUAUCGGUAAUCAUCGCAUGAGAAAAUGUAAAUCUGACUUCUUCCUCCAGUCAGUUUCUAGUAAUCUGAAUAACCCCUUGAAAUCAUGGAAAAUUAUUAAAUCUCUAAUAUGCCCUGUUACUGACACUGCCCUCACCCAACAUAUUGUACAGGAUGCUCAGCAAAUCCAUCCUGACAAAGCUUCCUAUCCAUAUGUCUCUCCACCUAAUAACUGCUUCUCUGGUUUAUCUGCCCCUCUGGACAGAUAAGGUUUGACUUUGAAUGCAUCCCCUUUUCUUUUUUAAGGGUCUUAAAGGGGUGAUAGAAUGAUGAUAUAGGGUAUUUUGUGCUGGUUCUUAAGGUCUCUGAAUAGGGUGUGUAACAUUGGUUGGGCUGAAAAUGGCAUAUGUGCUGUUCUGUGCUAAUGCAAGCCUGGUUAAAAGCCCUAGAAUGAAACGAGAGGUUUUCUUCCUUUGAUGGUAUGCUCAUGAAUAUUUAGAUGACCUGCGUGCUGAUUGGUUGGUUUACAAUGCGCGAAGCUCCGGAACAAAGACGCAAACAUGGACGACAGCACUCACUGAAACAGCCAAGGUGGAAAUACUAUGGAGACAUAGGUGGUGAACAGCAUAUUUGAGCCUGAAUCAAAGGAAGAAUCUGAAAUAGAGGAGCAACCAGUCGUCCAUAGAUUGGAAAUGACUACUUCAGAGUGGUAAGUUUUGUCAUUUACUUGAGUUUGCCACUCGUAGCCCAGUUAGCUAGCUGUAAUACUCGCACGUUAGUGUCGUAGACUAAGCUAAACAUUGUAUUAGGUUCGUUUUUAGCAUUGUAAGCAACAGAAGUUAUUCAUUUGCACACAAACAAAUGUUUUACAACUUGUACCCUUGUGCAAUUUUUGUCAAGAUGUCCAGUUAGAAACUAGCUGAAAAGUUUGUAGCCCGUCGUGGGCAGUUCAGGCUAUGCUGUAGUGAAAGGAGUGCUGCUUGCAAGGAAAGUACUCGUUUUAGUCAGUUAUUAAAAGAAUGACCCAGGUUCCUGAGGAGCUGACCUGAAUGACCCAUCAUGGCCUCAAUCCGUUGUGCCUCUAUAGUCUUUGCAAAAUGCAAUGAAUAUUUACUGAGCUGACCAUGGCCGUUUGAGAAUCAGAGGAAUGGAAAGGCAAUGAAGUGACUUGGCCUACAGGUCUUUUGUGAGCAGGAGCUGGGGUUUCCUUAGAAGAAGUGUCCGUGUCAUGAUCCCCUUGUGUGUGGUGCUACGCAUAUGGAGGGAACUUCCGGAUACUUCAGGGCAGUAUGUUGGAUUCAGACCCCUUUUCGACUGAACCACGUGACACAUGUUCAGCAACA
Molecule: long non-coding RNA, 1815 nt
Organism: Alosa sapidissima (American shad)
Lineage: Eukaryota; Metazoa; Chordata; Actinopteri; Clupeiformes; Clupeidae
Exons: 3
Source: RefSeq, a predicted model, not a curated record